GUUACAUAUACCUUAAUGAAACAACCUUGUUAUCUCUUUAUCCCUGAUCCAUUCCGGGCAAACCUCUUCCAUAUUAUAAUACAUUAUCAAAAUAUUUUAACAAUCUAAAUAUCACUAGCAUUAUAAUUGUUUUCACUGCCAUCUCCAAACACAAACAUAUACAAUCAAUGUGGUGAGCGAUUAACAAUACCUUAUAUGUACAAUUCAGGAAACGCCAAUAAAACCAGAGGUGAACCAGCUAUCUCGAUACAUAUACCAUAUACAUAUAUCUGUCUUAAGACCUGGUAAUGUUUAGUAAUACAAUUACUCGUGUAUCUCCUCAACAUCCAUAUAACAUACGUUAUAUACGGUCUACUGCUCGUUAUAACAUGCAUUUACAGCCAUAGGAGUGAUUUUGUGAUUUUGUUUCUCUUGUAUAAAGCACAAGCUUCACACUCACAUCCAUAGGAGUGUUCAUUGGAGAAUAAUCUCACAAUUAAACUUCUUGAUAACUUUUUGAUGUAAUGAGAUUAUGUCAAAGAUAAUCCUUUACUUGUAUGUUUGAUUCAAAUUUCAAGAAUUACAUCCACUUCCUCCAUGGCUUUCAUUACAAAAUUUUAUGACAAUAAAACUUCAGUACGCUC
RNAcentral lists this long non-coding RNA (623 nucleotides) under Brassica napus (rape). RNAcentral describes it as "long non-coding RNA (BNAP_LNC006780)". The record is from RNAcentral. Lineage: Eukaryota; Viridiplantae; Streptophyta; Magnoliopsida; Brassicales; Brassicaceae.